Xenopus tropicalis (tropical clawed frog) is the source of this 130-nucleotide small nuclear RNA. Its record names the gene U2. It matches the Rfam family "U2 spliceosomal RNA". From Rfam's summary of the family: U2 is a small nuclear RNA (snRNA) component of the spliceosome (involved in pre-mRNA splicing). NCBI's taxonomy places the organism in Eukaryota, Metazoa, Chordata, Amphibia, Anura, Pipidae. The record is from Ensembl.
AUCGCUUCUCGGCCUUUUGGCUAAGAUCAAGUGUAGUACCUGCUCUGGCGUGGGGGGGGGGUGCAUCCUAGCUAAGGGAUGCACUGGUCUGCCCCUCCUCACUGCCGGGCAGAGAGGCACUUGAUCCUCU